AUUUUAGUAUAAGUAUGUCCCAUUCCAUAUUUGGGAUCUACUUAUAUUAAAA
RNAcentral lists this microRNA precursor (52 nucleotides) under Mustela putorius furo (domestic ferret). Its description in RNAcentral is "mir-1302 microRNA precursor family". It matches the Rfam family "mir-1302 microRNA precursor family". Lineage: Eukaryota; Metazoa; Chordata; Mammalia; Carnivora; Mustelidae. The record is from Rfam by way of RNAcentral. RNAcentral also lists the same sequence under 1 other name.